UACGUAGGCAGCGAGCGUUGUUCGGAGUUACUGGGCGUAAAGAGUGCGUAGGCGGUUUUCCAAGUUUGGUGUGAAAUCUCCCGGCUUAACUGGGAGGGUGCGCCGAAAACUGGGAGGCUAGAGUAUGGGAGAGGUAAGCGGAAUUCCUGGUGUAGCGGUGAAAUGCGUAGAUAUCAGGAGGAACACCUGCGGUGUAGACGGCUUACUGGACCAUAACUGACGCUGAGGCACGAAAGCGUGGGUAGCAAACAGG
This 253-nucleotide ribosomal RNA is filed under the name uncultured bacterium. RNAcentral's name for it is "partial 16S ribosomal RNA". It matches the Rfam family "Bacterial small subunit ribosomal RNA", at positions 524 to 776 of the family's 1533-position model. The record is from RNAcentral.